RNAcentral lists this ribosomal RNA (472 nucleotides) under uncultured Methanomicrobiales archaeon. RNAcentral describes it as "bacterial SSU rRNA". It matches the Rfam family "Archaeal small subunit ribosomal RNA", at positions 875 to 1338 of the family's 1478-position model. The record is from RNAcentral. Lineage: Archaea; Methanobacteriati; Methanobacteriota; Methanomicrobia; Methanomicrobiales.
AGCACCACAACAGGGUGGAGUCCUCGUCGGUUUUAAUACGGACUACAACGCCGGGAAACUCACCAGAUAAGACAGCUGAAUGAUAGUCGGGCUGAAGACUCUACUUGACUAGCUGAGAGGAGGUGCAUGGCCGUCGUCAGUUCGUACUGUGAAGCAUCCUGUUAAGUCAGGCAACGAGCGAGACCCACGCCAACAGUUGCCAGCUCGUCCUCCGGGAUGGUGGGGACACUGUUGGGACCGCCUCUGCUAAAGAGGAGGAAGGAAUGGGCAACGGUAGGUCAGCAUGCCCCGAAUUAUCUGGGCUACACGCGGGCUACAAUGGGUGGGACAAUGGGUAUCGACACCGAAAGGUGAAGGCAAUCUCCUAAACCCAUCCGUAGUUCGGAUUGUGGGCUGCAACUCGCCCACAUGAAGCUGGAAUCUGUAGUAAUCGUGUCUCAAAAUGGCACGGUGAAUAUGUCCCCUGCUCCUU